AUGGCGGAGCUGGCAUGGCGCUUUGCGGCCGCACACGUCCUGCUGUUGCCCGCGGCCGUCGGCGGCAUCGCCUACCUCCUCCUCCGCGCUCUACGUGCUUCACAACUCCGGCAGGAUUGCAGGAGCCCGCCGCCGGGAGGCAUCGGCGGCUGGUGCCGGGGCGCGGUCGGGGCGGAGACGCUGUCCUUCCUGGCCGACAACAGCAGCGGCAGGGGCUUCUACCACUUCGUCCACGCCCGCGCGCUCCGGUACGGCGCCUGCUUCCGCACCGUGCUCUUCGGCCGCACCCACGUCUUCCUCCUCUCCUCCCGCGCGCGCGCCGCCGCCGCCAGCCUCCUGGCCGCCGACCCGCCCCACUUCGCCAAGCGCUACGUGCGCACCGUCGCCGACCUGCUCGGCGAGCACAGCCUCCUCUGCACCUCCCACGGCGCCCACCGCCGCAUGCGCCGCGCCGUCGCGGGCCUCUUCGCCUCCGCGCCCACGGCCGCCUUCGCCGCCGCCUUCGACCGCCUGAUCACCGCCCGGCUGCUGGCCGACGGCUGCAAGGGCCAGGCCGUCGUGCUGGACGCCGCGCUCGACGUCACCUUCAGGGCCAUCUGCGAGAUGCUCAUCGGGCCACGGGACGACACGCGCGAGCUGGAGCAGCUGCAGAGCGACGUCAUGGACGUAACGCAAGCCAUGCUCGCGCUGCCAAUCAGGCUGCCUCGAACAAGGUUCUACAGAGGCCUACAGGCAAGGAAGAGGAUCAUGGAUGCACUGAGGCAAGAAAUAUCCACGAGGCGAGAAAAUGGCCUGAAACUAGAUCACCGGGACGACUUUCUGCAGACCCUUCUUCUCAAGAGCCAUAUGGAUUCACCUGAAGAAGCGCUCACGGAUGAACAGAUUCUGGAUAACAUUUUGACACUCAUAAUUGCAGGGCAAGUGACAACAGCAACAGCAAUUACCUGGAUGGUCAAGUACCUGGGCGACAACACAGAUCUCCAAGAGAAACUAAGAUCAGUUCAGCUGGAUCUGGCAUCCAAGCACAAUGAUGCACCUCUUACCCUACAACAUCUGAACACCAUGGACUACGCAUACAAGACGGUCAAAGAAUCCUUGAGGAUGGCCACCAUAGUUUCUUGGUUUCCAAGGGUGGCACUCAAGGACUGCCAGGUUGCAGGAUUCCACAUUAAGAAGGACUGGCUCGUAAAUGUCGAUGCGAGAUCCAUACACUAUGAUCCAACCAUCUAUGACAGUCCGACAGUGUUUGAUCCUUCCAGGUUCAAUGAUGAUAUGAAGCCAUACAGCUUCUUGGCAUUUGGAGCAGGCAGCAGAACAUGCCUGGGGAUGAACCUUGCCAAGAUUAUGAUGCUAAUAUUCCUUCAUCGCCUUGUCACAAAUUUCAGAUGGGAAAUGGCAGACCACGAUACAAGCCUUGAGAAAUGGGCAAUGUUUCCGAGGCUAAAGAAUGGCUGCCCAAUUCAGCUCACGCCGAUACGCAAGGACAAGAUGCACUGA
Molecule: ribosomal RNA, 1497 nt
Filed under: Triticum aestivum (bread wheat)
Lineage: Eukaryota; Viridiplantae; Streptophyta; Magnoliopsida; Poales; Poaceae
Description: partial small subunit ribosomal RNA
Source: RNAcentral